Non-coding RNA from Candidatus Kaiserbacteria bacterium, 71 nucleotides. The record is from Rfam. Lineage: Bacteria; Candidatus Kaiseribacteriota.
GCGGGCGUAGUUUAGUGGUAAAAUACGACACUUCCAAUGUUGUGUCGCGAGUUCGAUUCUCGCCGCCCGCA